This 224-nucleotide ribosomal RNA is filed under the name uncultured bacterium. RNAcentral's name for it is "partial 16S ribosomal RNA". It matches the Rfam family "Bacterial small subunit ribosomal RNA", at positions 96 to 334 of the family's 1533-position model. The record is from RNAcentral.
UGGCGUACGGGUGAGUAACACGUGGGUGAUCUACCCUUUAGUGGGGAAUAACGCUGGGAAACCGGCGCUAAUACCGCAUAAGCUCGAGAGAGGAAAGCAGCAAUGCGCUGAAGGAGGAGCCCGCGGCCGAUUAGCUGGUUGGCAGGGUAAAAGCCUACCAAGGCAUAGAUCGGUAGCCGGCCUGAGAGGGCACACGGCCACACUGGCACUGAAACACGGGCCAG